UUGUUUUGUUUAGAUAAUGUUAUCUUUUAUUCAGACGCGUUUGAUACAUUUGUAAAAAGUUAAAACAAAAAGUUACAACAUUUAACGAUACUUACCAUUUACUGAGAGGAUGUACCAAAGAUAUUCCAAUGGAUGAUUCAAAUAAAUUCUUACCUGGUUUUUAUAAUUUCGUACCUCGUAUUCCUCAGCAUUUUCUGUGAUUUUCCACCUUAAACAUCCUUCAAUGACAUUUGUUUUUAAACAUAUUUCUUUAUCCUUUCGGGGUCGAUAAAUCAAGUACCAGUUACGCACUGGGAUCGAUGUAAUCAACUUAAUCUCUUUGUCUGUCCUUGUUUGUCCCCUCUAUGUUUAGCCCCUUGUGGGCAAUAAAGAAAUAAGGGACAUACUUCUUUAUGUGUAGAUUAACGUGUCACCCUUUGCUUCUUUUAGUUAUUAGACUUUGGUCAUGCUGGAGCAUCUCCUUGUGGUGUUAAGUCAAACAGAUCAACAUCAGCACUUACUAGUUUAUCGGUCGCUUUUGUUGAAACGCUAAUUUUACGGGGACGUAAACAUACAAACAAUGGUUGUCGAGCUACGAGGUGGGGACACGCACAAGCACCAAGGGGCACACUCAUAGACAAAUAUUUAUACAUAUACGACUUCCAUACAGUUUCUUAUUUCUUUAUUACCCACAAGGGGCUAAACAUAGAGGGGACAAACAGUGACAGACAAACGGAUUAAGUCGAUUACAUCGACCCCAGUGCAUAACUGGUACUUAAUUUAUCGACACCGAAAGGCUGAAAGGCAAAGUCGACCUCGGCGGAAUUCGAACUCAGAACUCAGGCUUCCAUACAGUUUCUGUCUACCAAAUUAACUCACAAGGCAUUGAUCAUCUUAGGGCCAUCGAAAGCAUUUGUCAAAGAUGCUGUUCGAUGGGUUCGAACUCGAAUCAACGUGUUUGCGAAACGAGUUUCUCAACCGCAUUGACAUGCCUGCGCUUACCAGUGUUAAUCAAAGACAUAUACAUACCUAUACUCUUUUACUUGUUUCAGUCAUUUGACUGCGGCCAUGCUGGAGCACCACCUUUAGUCGAGCAAAUCGACCCCAAAACUUAUUCUUUGUAAGCUUAGUACUUAAUCUAUCGGUCUCUUUUGCCGAACCACAGCUAAGUUACGGGGAGGUAAACACACCAGCAUCGGUUGUCAUGCGAUGUUGGGGGACAAACAAAGACACACAAACACACAUAUAUAAAUGUAUAUAUAUAUAUAUAUAUAUAUAUAUAUAUAUAUAUAUAUAUAUAUAUAUAUAUAUAUAUAUAUAUAUAUAUAUAUAUAUAUAUAUAUAUAUAUAUACAUAUAUACGAUGGGCUUCUUUCAGUUUCCAUCUACCAAAUCCACUCACAAGGCUUUGGUCGGUCCGAGGCUAUAGUAGAAGACACUUGCCCAAGUUGCCACGCAGUGGGACUGAACCCGGAACCACGUGGUUCGUAAGCAAGCUACUUACCGCUCAGCCACUCUAUUUGUCUCUCUCUCUCUACGAAUAUAUACACAGCACAUCUCUACAUACCUUCACACUAUACUAUAGUAACUUCGAGCCAAUGAAACAGCAGUUAUAUCUCCCUCAUGUCACACGUUAGCGUGUUAAAAAGUAAUGGACGCAUUAGACGAUGCAACCCUAGAUUUUACAAUGUCUGAAAAUAAGAUGGUAUGGUCACUGUGAGACCAUCUUUGAUAAUAGAUCUGUUCAGGGCUGAACUGGGACUAAAUGACAAUUAUGAUGACAUCAUCAGUGACGUCAGCGACAACGAUAAUAUAUUCCCUUCCUCCAUUAAUACAAGAUUCCAUCUCGGUGUAACGAAGUACCAGAUUUAGAGCCAUGAUGUUCUUUGGAAAUUAGUCUGACUCUAUAACGUUUCGGUCAUCUUCAACUCUUUGAAAGAUGAAGAAUUUGUUACAGAGGUACGAAACCUGAAAAUAGUUGUUGUGAUGUUCUUGGUUUUGCAAACACUUUAGCGACUCAGAUGAAGAUAAGGAAGAUUCGAAACAAGAAUCGAAGCCAAGUUCCUUUCUAUAACAGUCGUAACUUCGUAGGAAAACAAGAUGACAGAGUGGACAGACAUGUAACGGAAUGAAACUAAUGAUUUAUCAAAAGUAUCAUUAUUAUUUUUUAGAGGGAGAGAGAGAAAAACAGAGAGAGAGACAGUGAGAGAGAGAGAGAGGGAAAGAAACAGAGAUAGUGAGAGAGAGAAAGAGAGAGAAACAGAGAGACAGUGUGAGAGAGAAAGAGAAAUAGAGAGACAGUGAGAGAGGGAGAGAAACAGAGAGACAGUGAGAGAGAGUGAGAGAGAGUGAGAAAGAGGGAAAAACAGAGAGAUAGUGAGAGAGAGAGAGAGAAACAGAGACAGUGAGAGAGAGAAAGAGAGAGAAAGAGAGGCAGUGAGAGAGAGAAACAGAGAGACAGUGAGAGAGAGAGAAACUGAGAGACAGUGAGAGAGAGAAAGAGAAAGAAACAGAGAGACAGUGAGAGAGAUAGAGAGAAAUAGAGACAGGUUAGUUUCAGAAUUAAUAGAACUGUGGGCUUUACCCUAUUUAGUUGUGCCGUUUUACAAUCAGAGUUCAAUACUUACCGAUACCCACUUUACCUUUUAUCUUUCUGGGGUGGAUAAUAUAAAGAAAGAGUCAAAUACUGCGUCCUUGAAAUCAAAUACCCCAUCACCUCAAAAAUUCCAGGCCUUGUACCUAAAUUGUACCCAAAUUGUACCCUUGUACCCGUUAAGGAAGACUUUGUCUUUAACCCCACCGGGUUGGACACCAUCGCCUUCCAUAAGGAAGGCGAUGGUGUCAGCUAAUCCACCUCCACUGAAGAGUUAACCCCUCACCAACAUCAGAAACAGAUGGCGAAUUUUUACGUUCUGAGUUCAAAUUCUGCUUAGGUCGACCUUGCCUUUCAUCCUUUGGGGUUGAUAGAAUAAGUACCAGUUAGGUACUGGAAUCAAUGUAAUUGGCUAGUCCCAUCCUCUCUCGAAAAUUUCAGGCUUUGUGCCUAUUGUAGAAAGGACUACUACUACUACUACUACUACUACAAAUAAUAAUAAUGCUGCUGCUGCUGCUGCUACCACUUGUAUUAUCAUUGUUGUGUUUUUCUUUUUUUUUCUUUAUUGCCCACAAGGGGUACAAACAAGGACAAAGGGAGUAAGUCGAUUACAUCGACCCCAGUGCAUAACUGGUACUUUAUUUAUCGACCCCGAAAGGAUGAAAGGCAAAGUCGACCUCGGCGGAAUUUGAACUCAGAUCGUAACGACAUACGAAAUACCACUAAGCAUUUCGCCCGGUGCGCUAACGAUUCUGCUAGCACGCCGCCUUUGCUGUGUUUUUAUUUAUCUGGAUGUGCUUCUGCUUGCUUCAUGGAUUCUGGAUUAACUGCCAAACACCCGAAGAAAAAGCAUUUGUUGACGACCUCUUUCAGAGAAUCAGUAUCGAAUACUUCAGGCGUUUUUCCAUACAAAGAAACAUAAUAUGGUUUGUCAGUUUUGGACAUUUUUGAACAAAAUAUUUUUUUACACUUUCAACUUUAGAUGGCUGCUUGCAACAGCAGCAGCAGCAGCAGCAGCAGUAGCAGCAGCAGCAGUAGCAGCAGCAGCAGUAGCAGCAGCAGCAGUAGCAGCAGCAGCAGUAGCAGCAGCAGGGAAACCAAAACAAGGAGAAACAAAUUAAAUUGCGCACAACAGGACGUACACACUUCACAUGAAAAAAAAUGAUUACAAAUAAUAUUAAUUCGAAAAAUUCGAACGAUGCUGUUAGCAACGGCAAUACGCGUACACACACAUUUAAACAAAUGAAGAAAAGGAAAUCUCAGUUGAGAGUCAAAGAUGGAUAUAUCAGUUUUCCUUUCGUUAGCGCCACAACUGUCAGAGAGAGAGACGAUGACUAUGAAUUACCUGGGUGUGAAAAAACUGUACUUAGCAGAGUCAUGUGAUUAGGGAAGGCGAGUCGCAAUUUGGGGCUUUUAUUUAAGAACGGGAGAGAAGAGAUAUCACGUGUUUGUGUAUCAGCAAGAACGGAAUAAGUUUUCUUUUGACUUCAAGUGAACAAUUUGUGAUAGCUCUGACAUGCAUGGAGCGACAUCUCCUCUUUAGAUCGAGGAUAGUGCAUAGAGGACUCUAGGUCUAAGCUGUGAACUCGGCGAGAAAGUAGAUUAAGCUGGUGCAUCAUACAGUGACUUAUAAGCUAGCAGCAUAAUAUAUAGGACUUCGCAAUACGAAGGUAGCGUUGAAAGGUGUUGGCAAUGACGUUGGUUCCUGGAUCGUUGCGACUUCUGAUGCACAGAACGGAGCAGGUGACGAAUGCCGAGGUAACUAAGGAUGGUAUAAAGUCGGUGGGGGUCUCAAUCCGUAUGUAAGUCCUGACUAUCCUGAAGACAACAGAGGUAUUUUAGAUAUGUGGGUGUAAGGUUGGGGAUCGAAACCAAAGUAAAAGUUUGAGGAAAUAAAAUUCGAAAUUAUCUAUAGAACUCUAUAUAUUAAUGUUUGAUAUUGGUACAAGGGCGGCGAGUCAUAGCAAAAAAUUAGUCGAUUCCACAAAUACUCAUUUAUUUCUUAAUGUUAAUUUAUUGAUUUGAGGAGAGGUUGUGUUUCAAACACUGAUUUAUAGACAUGCAUCAGAAUCAUUGCUCACUGUAUUGCCGGCAUGCUAUAUUAAAUUAAUUUUGAUUUAAAUUUAAAGGUUAUCUUCCUUUCCUUUCUCGACCAGAAUUAAUCAUCGAAGUAAAAACACUGAUAAUUAAAAGUUUUUGGCUCACUAUAGUAUCUCAGAACCGACUUUAGUGAUUACUGCAAAGCAGAGACGAAACGGCUGAGGAGAUAAGGUAUUGGAUUAAUGACUCGAGGCACAAAAGGUCAAACUACAACUGCAUCGUAGUCUAAGACUGAAAUCAAUUGCCUAACUUUUGAGUUACAAGCUCUACCAAAUAACCUGAGGAAUGUUAUUUGGUACUUAGCCCGGUAUUAUCUGGUCUUAUGCAAUUUCAACAGCAUGGAACUAUAAACAUAUAUCAGGCAUUUUCUCCACUGCUGUGUCUGCUAUUCCAUUGCGUUACAUAAGCUCUAAGAUGUUCAUUUAUUUCGUUAUUGCAUUUCUUUUCUGCUCAACAGAAUAAUAUUGACUUCUGUAACGUUUCUUGUGUUUUUCUUUUUCUGCUUUGCCUUUCUCACAUUCAUCAUCGGUUGAUUCAGCAUCUGCAACAAGCGUCUUCAAAUAGAAUUUCUAUUUAAAUAUAUCACUAUACUAUAUAAAUCAUCAAGUCUAAAGUAAUAACUCACUCACCUCAUUCUUCUUCCUCCCACUAAUCCUCUCUCUCCCCUCCAUUUCUUUCGCUUUCUCUCCUAUGCACAGACAUGACAAACUCACAUACAUUACUGCAUUGUUACUUUACAAGGCAGUCAUCUUUAUUACAUAAAUGUGAUGUAAAAAAAUCGAUGAAACAAUGUAUCAUCUAAUUUUGAAUAAUUGCUGGGAAAAUAAACGGAUUAGUAAUGUCUUCUUUUUUUGGGAGACAAUUCAUAUUAGUUUUAGUCUCACCUAAACAAGCUGGAAUCUUUUCCAAGCCAUUUCCGUUCAAAGAUUUCCAUUGAGAGAAUUGCUCUCCACACGUUGUGGUAGUUAAAUAGAAGAAAUUUCAUAUCUUUUCCUUUUCUAUUGCGGUGGUAUGCAAAUAACAAGAGCGCUGUCAGCUCUGUUUUGUGUAUAACAUCUAUGAGUAAAAAAUACUGAACUAGUAUCCGCUUGGGAAUGUUUGCGUGCGAUGAAAAAUUAAAUUUUCUGCAAAGCAAGAAUAAUAGCAGUUCAAAAUAUAUGCCAGCCACUAUACAAUAUUCUGCAUUUACUUUACCUACUAUACCAAAUAUGAUGAGAGCAAUACUUAACUAAAGAGAUCGUAAUAAUACUGAAACUUCAUUGAAGUUGUCUCCCUUACUUGCUAAAAAUGAUCGAAUUCAUAUCGUUUUUACGUCACCGAAUAAUGAUUUCUAGUUAGCUUGUUAACACUCCAUGCAUUAAAUGGAGUACAAUUAACUUAUCUAAAUUAGGAUAACAUUUAAUUAAUCCACUCAUGACAACUUCGUUUACUUGAUAUUUUCUAUUUAUACUUAAAUGAUUGAUUUUUGCUUGUAAACAAUGGCAGAGUGUAUUCAAUCAAUGGUACCUAUUUAUCGAUCGCAGUGGAAUGAAAAACGGCAACCACUUUGAUAACAUGGCGAAACUAGACGUUGCAAAGCUUUUAGUUGGACGUCCUGCCCAAUACUGCCAACUCAUCCAUCACGUUACUAGCUCAACAUUUCAUUUCAUAAAUAACUAUUAGACAGGACAAAACAGAACAACAUAGUUAAUUAGAUUCGGCCUGAAAUAGAAAUCUUCAUCGGUUCACUGGUAGUUUACGUUUUAGCUAUUAGCAACCUAACAAUGAUCGCCGCAGCUAAAAUUAGCUGGCUCAGUGUGUGUGUUUUUUGAAUGGCGUAGCGUUGAACUGUUGACAUAGCGUAAGUACGGACGCUCACCAAGUUUUAACUCAAACAGGAAUACAGUAAUCUCUCGACUAUCGCGUGGCUUACGUUCCAAAACCUACCGCGAUAGGUGAAAAUCCGCGAAGUAGAGACAGUACUGUAUUGAAUGUUUUUAAAAUUAUUUUUAUAAUUUGUAUGUAUCUAUUUUAUUAUAAAUGCAAAACACCACCACAGUGGAAUCGAUGUAAGCUUAAAUAAUAAACUGAGAUAGGUGAACCGCGAUAGAGGAACCGCGAUAGGUGAACCGCGAUAGGUGAACCGCGAUAUGACGAAGGAUUACUGUAGCCGUGUAGGUAACACGUUUGUUUUGCAUGUAAAUGGUUUCGGAUUCAAUUGCAAAGCUCGGAAACGAGUCUGCUAACGAGUGGAAUUUCGUAGUUGGAAAUAUGUGAAAGCUCGUCAGAGGGACCAUGCCCGUUUUGGUUGCAGACUUAAUCAAUUGCUUUGAUUAACAAGAACGAAUGACAUUUGGCAGCCUUUAGAGUACCUAUUUUGUAGCUAAUAUUCAGGACAGAUCUUCACUUCAGUGUAAUUGUCUCCCUUUCCACUAUCAAACUUAAAGUACCCGGAUCGAAGAACAACGUAUAUCAAAUUACAAGGCUGAGAUCAAAUACUGUAACAUAAGAAUUAGAGAUUAAAUCUAAAUAAGGAAAAUUCAGAUUUCUUUCCAUUCGAAUGUGUCAGACCAUCGUAGUAUCCCUUUUGUAUUUUUUAGAUCACCUUUGUAAGAAAUGGCAUGAGAGAAGGAAUAUAUAUAUAAUAUAUAUAUAUAUAUAUAUAUAUAUAUGUUUCCCAACCGCAUGGUUCCUGGUUCAGUAUGUAUGUAUGUAUGUAUGUAUGUAUGUAUGUAUGUAUGUAUGUAUGUAUGUAUGUAUGUAUGUAUGUAUGUAUGUGUGUGUGUGUAUGUGUGUGUGUAUGUAUGUAUGUGUGUGUGUGUGUGUGUGUACCUUUAUGUCGGUGUUUGUCUCCUUCACCGCUUGGCGACUGGUGUUGAUAUCCUUAUGUUCCCGAAACUUCGGUAAAAGAGGGCAACAGUAUAAAUAACGGAAUCAAAAAAUAAGUAUUUCAAAGCGAUGCCCCAGCAUGUACUGACUGUGACAAGUAAAGAAGUAAAAGAUAAAAGAAAUAUAUAUAUAUAUAUAUAUAUAUAUAUAUAUAUAUAUAUAUAUAUAUAUAUAUAUAUAUAUAUAUAUAUAUAUAUAAAUAUAUGUUAUAUAUAUAUUCUCUCUAACACGCACAACGAGUCAAUGAAUAAAAAUGUCGAAACCGAAAAUGGCGGCGUAUGGAGUUUUCCGCUUUUACUUAAUUAUUUAUGUCGCUUAUAAGUCUUUCCCACUAAACAAAUGUCUAUGAAUGUUAUGGACGACCUAAACUAAUAUCAGAUCAUGUAUAAAGACAGUUGAACACAAUAGUUAUAUGAUAUUGUAAUAUUGCAAUAGAAGCUGUGUUCACAUAGCACUUGUCGGAACACAGUGGAAACUUACUGUGUCAAACAUCUAUCUAUCUAUCU
This 8045-nucleotide long non-coding RNA is filed under the name Octopus vulgaris (common octopus). The record is from RNAcentral. Lineage: Eukaryota; Metazoa; Mollusca; Cephalopoda; Octopoda; Octopodidae.